This 253-nucleotide ribosomal RNA is filed under the name uncultured bacterium. RNAcentral's name for it is "partial 16S ribosomal RNA". It matches the Rfam family "Bacterial small subunit ribosomal RNA", at positions 524 to 776 of the family's 1533-position model. The record is from RNAcentral.
UACAGAGGUCCCAAGCGUUGUUCGGAUUCACUGGGCGUAAAGGGUGCGUAGGCGGCGCGGUAAGUCGGGGGUGAAAUCUCGGAGCUUAACUCCGAAACUGCAUUCGAUACUGCCGUGCUUGAGGACUGGAGAGGAGACUGGAAUUUACGGUGUAGCGGUGAAAUGCGUAGAUAUCGUAAGGAAGACCAGUGGCGAAGGCGGGUCUCUGGACAGUUCCUGACGCUGAGGCACGAAGGUCAGGGGAGCAAACGGG